GACGAACGCUGGCGGCGUGCUUAACACAUGCAAGUCGUACGGUAAGGCCCUUUCGGGGGUACACGAGUGGCGAACGGGUGAGUAACACGUGAGUAACCUGCCCACAACUUUGGGAUAACGCUAGGAAACUGGUGCUAAUACUGGAUAUGUGCUCCUGCUGCAUGGUGGGGGUUGGAAAGCUCCGGCGGUUGUGGAUGGACUCGCGGCCUAUCAGCUUGUUGGUGGGGUAGUGGCCUACCAAGGCGGCGACGGGUAGCCGGCCUGAGAGGGUGACCGGCCAAAUGGGGACGGAGAUACGGCCCCGACCCCUACGGGGGGCAGAAGGGGGGAAUAUUGCAAAAUGGGCGCAAGCCUGAUGCAGCAACGCCGCGGGCGGGAUGACGGCCUUCGGGUUUUAACCCGUUUUCAGGAGGGACGAAGCUUUUUGUGACGGUACCUGCAGAAGAAGCACCGGCUAACUACGU
RNAcentral lists this ribosomal RNA (464 nucleotides) under uncultured bacterium. RNAcentral's name for it is "partial 16S ribosomal RNA". It matches the Rfam family "Bacterial small subunit ribosomal RNA", at positions 28 to 506 of the family's 1533-position model. The record is from RNAcentral.